AUUGAACGCUGGCGGCAGGCCUAACACAUGCAAGUCGAGCGAGCGGCGGACGGGUGAGUAAUGUAUGGGGAACUGCCCGAUGGAGGGGGAUAACUACUGGAAACGGUGGCUAAUACCGCAUACUAUCGGAUGAACCCAAAUGGGAUUAGCUAGUUGGUGGGGUAAAGGCUAACCUAGGCGACGAUCUCUCGCUGGUCUGAGAGGAUGACCAGCCACACGGGGACUGAGAAACGGCCCAGACUCCUACGGUAGGAAGCAGUGGGGAAUAUUGCACAAGGGGCGCAAGCCUGAGGCAGCCAUGCCGCGUGUAUGAAGAAGGCCUUAGGGUUGUAAAGGACUUUCAGCGGGGAGGCGUUACCCGCAGAAGAAGCACCGGCUAACUCCGUGCCAGCAGCCGCGGUAAUAC
This 406-nucleotide ribosomal RNA is filed under the name uncultured bacterium. RNAcentral's name for it is "partial 16S ribosomal RNA". It matches the Rfam family "Bacterial small subunit ribosomal RNA", at positions 29 to 526 of the family's 1533-position model. The record is from RNAcentral.